CCUACGGGUGGCAGCAGUGAGGAAUAUUGGUCAAUGGGCGCAAGCCUGAACCAGCCAAGUAGCGUGAAGGAUGACGGCCCUACGGGUUGUAAACUUCUUUUAUAAAGGAAUAAAGUGAGUCACGUGUGCCUUUUUGUAUGUACUUUAUGAAUAAGGAUCGGCUAACUCCGUGCCAGCAGCCGCGGUAAUACGGAGGGUCCGGGCGUUAUCCGGAUUUAUUGGGUUUAAAGGGAGCGUAGAUGGGUUGUUAAGUCAGUUGUGAAAGUUCGCGGCUCAACCGUAAAAGUGCAAUUGCUACUGGCAGGCUUGAGUACAGGUGAGGUAGGCGGAAUUUGUGGUGUAGCGGGGAAAUGCUUAGAUAUCACGAAGAA
RNAcentral lists this ribosomal RNA (371 nucleotides) under uncultured bacterium. RNAcentral describes it as "partial 16S ribosomal RNA". It matches the Rfam family "Bacterial small subunit ribosomal RNA", at positions 338 to 706 of the family's 1533-position model. The record is from RNAcentral.